RNAcentral lists this ribosomal RNA (851 nucleotides) under uncultured bacterium. RNAcentral's name for it is "bacterial SSU rRNA". It matches the Rfam family "Bacterial small subunit ribosomal RNA", at positions 28 to 896 of the family's 1533-position model. The record is from RNAcentral.
AGCGAACGCUGGCGGCAGGCCUAACACAUGCAAGUCGAGCGGCCGUAGCAAUACGGCAGCGGCAGACGGGAGAGUAACACGUGGGAACGUGCCCUUUGGUUCGGAAUAACGCAGGGAAACUUGCGCUAAUACCGGAUAAGCCCUUACGGGGAAAGAUUUAUCGCCAUUGGAGCGGCCCGCGUCUGAUUAGCUAGUUGGUGAGGUAAUGGCUCACCAAGGCGACGAUCAGUAGCUGGUCUGAGAGGAUGAUCAGCCUCACUGGGACUGAGACACGGCCCAGACUCCUACGGGAGGCAGCAGUGGGGAAUUGUUCGCAAUGGGCGCAAGCCUGACGACGCACCGCCGCGUGGAGGAUGAAGAUCUUCGGGUCGUAAACUCCUUUCGAUCGAGACGAACGGCCUCGGGAUGAACAAUCCUGGGGAGUGACGGUACCGAGAGAAGAAGCCCCGGCUAACUCCGUGCCAGCAGCCGCGGUAAUACGGGGGGGGCAAGCGUUGUUCGGAAUUACUGGGCGUAAAGGGCUCGUAGGCUGCCAACUAAGUCAGACGUGAAAUCCCUCGGCUUAACCGGGGAACUGCGUCUGAUACUGGAUGGCUUGAGUUUGGGAGAGGGAUGCGGAAUUCCAGGUGUAGCGGUGAAAUGCGUAGAUAUCUGGAGGAACACCGGUGGCGAAGGCGGCAUCCUGGACCAACACUGACGCUGAGGAGCGAAAGCCAGGGGAGCAAACGGGAUUAGAUACCCCGGUAGUCCUGGCCCUAAACGAUGAAUGCUUGGUGUGGCGGGUAUCGAUCCCUGCCGUGCCGAAGCUAACGCAUUAAGCAUUCCGCCUGGGGAGUACGGUCGCAAGGCUG